Xyrichtys novacula (pearly razorfish) is the source of this 508-nucleotide non-coding RNA. The record is from the annotation of a GenBank genome assembly. Lineage: Eukaryota; Metazoa; Chordata; Actinopteri; Labriformes; Labridae.
AAAUAUUAGUUCAUUUCAAUUCCUGCUUCUGUGUAUCUGUUGCGUUUACAUCUCUCUCCUCGGUAUCAUAGGUAAUGUAAUCCAGUAUUUCGAGGUCAGUUAUGCACAUUACAGUUGUUUAUUGCAUAAAAAGUUAUCGAAAAAUGAAGUUAAGGGCGAAGUAUAAAUCACGUCUAAAAAUAGACUGAAUCCCGACGUUGAAAUGAAGUAUAAACUUAGACUAGACGUCUAAUAUACGUCUUUUGCUCAGUGGGAUGACAAAGCAUGUGGACAUUUGUGUGACACGCCACUUACCCUAUAAUAAUAAUCGCCACCACCCGCUGCUCAAACGGUGUGAGGGUCUCCUCCCCCGGACCCCCACCUGUCUGGCCGGUACUCCUCCGGAGGGCAGCUGUACGCCGCUUGACCUCCACCUUGAGGUCCGACCACUUUUUUUUUAAUCUCCGCGGGGGUGCGUGUCUCGGAACCCACCGCAUUCACCCUCUCGCAAACUUUCUCCCACUCCAAG